This 169-nucleotide ribosomal RNA is filed under the name uncultured bacterium. Its description in RNAcentral is "partial 16S ribosomal RNA". It matches the Rfam family "Bacterial small subunit ribosomal RNA", at positions 338 to 524 of the family's 1533-position model. The record is from RNAcentral.
CCUACGGGAGGCAGCAGUGGGGAAUAUUGGACAAUGGGCGCAAGCCUGAUCCAGCCAUGCCGCGUGAGUGAUGAAGGCCUUAGGGUUGUAAAGCUCUUUUGUCCGGGACGAUAAUGACGGUACCGGAAGAAUAAGCCCCGGCUAACUUCGUGCCAGCAGCCGCGGUAAU